Long non-coding RNA from Fukomys damarensis (Damara mole-rat), 225 nucleotides. RefSeq lists it as uncharacterized. The transcript is spliced from 3 exons. The record is from RefSeq and is a predicted model, not a curated record. Lineage: Eukaryota; Metazoa; Chordata; Mammalia; Rodentia; Bathyergidae.
GACGAAGAAGGGCGGAGCGCAUGAGGGGCACUACUGAGGCUAAAGCCUGCAGUCGCUAGAACUUCGUCCGUGCUAGGCGAGUGCUCUGCUGCGCAGCUCCACGCCCAGUCCGACCUUGCACUCCUCAGUCGCACACGAGGCCCGCAAUCCUCCCAAAAACACUGGCCCAAGCUGCUCACAAGUUUAAACUCAGGACUUCAGACCACGUACCUUUAAGACGAAGCA